RNAcentral lists this ribosomal RNA (443 nucleotides) under uncultured bacterium. RNAcentral's name for it is "bacterial SSU rRNA". It matches the Rfam family "Bacterial small subunit ribosomal RNA", at positions 54 to 507 of the family's 1533-position model. The record is from RNAcentral.
CAUGAAAGUAGCUUGUCGUACUUUUGGUGGCGACCGGCGCACGGGUGCGUAACAGGUGUGCAAUCUGUACCAUAAUCGGGGAAUAGCCCAGCGAAAGUUGGAUUAAUGCUCAUGUGAGUUUUAGAGGCAUCUCUUAAUUUGAAACGUAAGGAUUAUGGGUGAGCACGCUUCUGAUUAGGUAGUUGGUGAGGUAACGGCUCACCAAGCCGACGAUCAGUAGGGGUUCUGAGAGGAAGGUCCCCCCACAUUGGAACUGAGACACGGACCAGACUCCUACGGGAGGCAGCAGUGAGGAAUAUUGGUCAAUGGGCGAGAGCCUGAACCAGCCAAGUCGCGUGAGGGAUGACGGUACUAAGUAUUGUAAACCUCUUUUGUCAGGGAACAAAGAGACCACGUGUGGUAAGAUGAGUGUACCUGAAGAAAAAGCAUCGGCUAACUCCGUG